This 468-nucleotide ribosomal RNA is filed under the name uncultured bacterium. Its description in RNAcentral is "partial 16S ribosomal RNA". It matches the Rfam family "Bacterial small subunit ribosomal RNA", at positions 28 to 507 of the family's 1533-position model. The record is from RNAcentral.
GAUGAACGCUGGCGGCGUGCUUAACACAUGCAAGUCGAACGGAAAGGCCCAAGCUUGCUUGGGUACUCGAGUGGCGAACGGGUGAGUAACACGUGGGUGAUCUGCCCUGCACUUCGGGAUAAGCCUGGGAAACUGGGUCUAAUACCGGAUAGGACGAUGGUUUGGAUGCCAUUGUGGAAAGUUUUUUCGGUGUGGGAUGAGCUCGCGGCCUAUCAGCUUGUUGGUGGGGUAAUGGCCUACCAAGGCGUCGACGGGUAGCCGGCCUGAGAGGGUGUACGGACACAUUGGGACGGAGAUACGGCCCAGACUCCGAAGGGAGGCAGAAGUGGGGAAGAUUGCACAAGGGGCGAAAGCCUGAUGCAGCGACGCCGCGUGGGGGAUGACGGCCUUCGGGUUGUAAACUCCUUUCGCUAGGGACGAAGCGUUUUUGUGACGGUACCUGGAGAAGAAGCACCGGCUAACUACGUG